AGGGAAGAAGGUAACAGCGUAUCGUAAACCUCUUUUGUCAGGGAACAAAGGCGGGACUAGUCCCCGGAUGAGGGUACCUGAAGAAAAAGCAUCGGCUAACUCCGUGCC
Molecule: ribosomal RNA, 108 nt
Filed under: uncultured bacterium
Lineage: Bacteria
Description: partial 16S ribosomal RNA
Rfam family: Bacterial small subunit ribosomal RNA
Source: RNAcentral